ACGUAUGGGGCGAGCGUUGUUCGGAGUUAUUGGGCGUAAAGGGCGUGUAGGCGGCUCAUCAAGUCUGGUGUGAAAAUGCAGGGCUUAACCCUGCAGAUGCGCUGGAAACUGGUGGGCUUGAGUUCUUGAGGGGAAGCUGGAAUUCCAGGUGUAGGGGUGAAAUGUGUAGAUAUCUGGAAGAACACCGGUGGCGAAGGCGGGCUUCUAUCAGAGGACUGACGCUGAGGCGCGAAAGCGUGGGGAGCGAACAG
This 251-nucleotide ribosomal RNA is filed under the name uncultured prokaryote. Its description in RNAcentral is "partial 16S rRNA". It matches the Rfam family "Bacterial small subunit ribosomal RNA", at positions 525 to 775 of the family's 1533-position model. The record is from RNAcentral.